Molecule: ribosomal RNA, 627 nt
Filed under: uncultured bacterium
Lineage: Bacteria
Description: bacterial SSU rRNA
Rfam family: Bacterial small subunit ribosomal RNA
Source: RNAcentral
UACUCCUACGGGAGGCAGCAGUGGGGAAUAUUGGACAAUGGGGGGAACCCUGAUCCAGCCAUGCCGCGUGUGUGAAGAAGGCCUUAUGGUUGUAAAGCACUUUAAGCGAGGAGGAGGCUACUGAGACUAAUACUCUUGGAUAGUGGACGUUACUCGCAGAAUAAGCACCGGCUAACUCUGUGCCAGCAGCCGCGGUAAUACAGAGGGUGCGAGCGUUAAUCGGAUUUACUGGGGGUAAAGCGUGCGUAGGCGGCUUUUUAAGUCGGAUGUGAAAUCCCCGAGCUUAACUUGGGAAUUGCAUUCGAUACUGGGAAGCUAGAGUAUGGGAGAGGAUGGUAGAAUUCCAGGUGUAGCGGUGUAAUGCGUAGAGAUCUGGAGGAAUACCGAUGGCGAAGGCAGCCAUCUGGCCUAAUACUGACGCUGAGGUACGAAAGCAUGGGGAGCAAACAGGAUUAGAUACCCUGGUAGUCCAUGCCGUAAACGAUGUCUACUAGCCGUCGGGGCCUUUGAGGCUUUAGUGGCGCAGCUAACGCGAUAAGUAGACCGCCUGGGGAGUACGGUCGCAAGACUAAAACUCAAAUGAAUUGACGGGGGCCCCCACAAGCGGUGGAGCAUGUGGAAUCACUA